GAGGAGCCAGGGGAUGUUGUUUUAAACAAUAAUCGUAAUUGUAAAAAAAAAAGACAUCCCUGCUGGCAGAGGCUCUCUUGGUUCUCUAGACAAGGGACAGCCUUGCUAAAAAAAAAUUUUAUGCUCUCAGAAGAAACCACCAGUCCAGGACUUUGUGACAGAAGGGGGUUUUAUUCCCCCAUAUGCACAGCAGCCUAACAAAAUUCAAGAAAUAAGAAUUAACAACCCAUAAAAUGUAAAAACCCAUUGUGGAAAAAAGUAGCAAAGAGGAACCAAGGCUCACAAAGUUGCAGAUUUUCUUCUAUGUUUGUUUCAACCUGAGAAGAAAAGAUGAUAAAGAUAAAAAAGAAAACACAUUAAAAACACAUGUACAACAUUGUAUUAUAAAACCCCUGAUCUGAACAAAAGUAGUUAAGCCUGCUAUAUAAGGUUAUUGUGUGUUAUUUAAUGUUAUUAAAGGAUAAUCCAUAUAAUAAAAAUGAUAUUUCCCUCAUAGGAACUAGCAAAACUGUUUUUACUUAAUUGUUUUUUUAUUACAUAGACAUUUACCUACCGACUCUACCUAUGCUGUUUCUCCUGCCUGAUCAGAAGCUGUUUAACUGGCUCUAAUAUAAUCACACAUCGGUGCUGUUAAUUAAUGAUGAAAACUAAUAAAAACUACCAAGAUAAAUACUACACAGUGUUCUAUAAAUUACUCUGUACACUUGCGCAACAGGCUCAAUCCAGCAUCUAGUUUUUUUAGGGUGUAUCAUUUCACUCUCUGUUCCAAACUCUAAUCAGAAAUAUUGACCUCUUUCUGAAAAUAGAAUGUGUGUAGAAGAUGUAUUUUUUAAACUAUUUUAAUUUA
Long non-coding RNA from Astyanax mexicanus (Mexican tetra), 847 nucleotides. RefSeq lists it as uncharacterized. The transcript is spliced from 4 exons. The record is from RefSeq and is a predicted model, not a curated record. Lineage: Eukaryota; Metazoa; Chordata; Actinopteri; Characiformes; Acestrorhamphidae.